Molecule: transfer RNA, 83 nt
Filed under: bacterium
Lineage: Bacteria
Description: tRNA-Tyr
Rfam family: tRNA
About the family: Transfer RNA (tRNA) molecules are approximately 80 nucleotides in length. Their secondary structure includes four short double-helical elements and three loops (D, anti-codon, and T loops).
Source: RNAcentral
GGGCGGAUACCGAAGUAGUCAAACGGGGCAGACUGUAAAUCUGCUGACCUAGGUCUUCGAUGGUGCAAAUCCAUCUCCGCCCA